AGUGGCGAACGGGUGAGUAACGCGUGAGUAUCUGCCCUUAGGAGGGGGACAACAGUUGGAAACGACUGCUAAUACCCCAUAUGUCUACGGAUGAAAGAUUUUAUCGCCUGAGGAUGAGUUCGCGUCUGAUUAGCUAGUUGGUGAGGUAAAGGCUCACCAAGGCGACGAUCAGUAGCUGGUCUGAGAGGAUGAUCAGCCACACUGGGACUGAGACACGGCCCAGACUCCUACGGGAGGCAGCAGUGGGGAAUUUUCCGCAAUGGGGGCAACCCUGACGGAGCAAUACCGCGUGCGGGAGGACGGCCUGUGGGUUGUAAACCGCUUUUCUCAGGGAAGAAGACCUGACGGUACCUGAGGAAUCAGCAUCGGCUAACUCCGUGCCAGCAGCCGCGGUAAUACGGAGGAUGCAAGCGUUAUCCGGAAUUAUUGGGCGUAAAGCGUCCGUAGGUGGCGAUUCAAGUCUGCUGUCAAAGCACGGGGCUUAACUCCGUAAAGGCAGUGGAAACUGAAUAGCUAGAGUGCCGUAGGGGUAGAGGGAAUUCCCGGUGUAGCGGUGAAAUGCGUAGAGAUCGGGAAGAACAUCGGUGGCGAAGCGCUCUACUGGACGGCAACUGACACUCAGGGACGAAAGCUAGGGGAGCGAAUGGGAUUAGAUACCCC
Molecule: ribosomal RNA, 660 nt
Filed under: uncultured bacterium
Lineage: Bacteria
Description: bacterial SSU rRNA
Rfam family: Bacterial small subunit ribosomal RNA
Source: RNAcentral